This 506-nucleotide ribosomal RNA is filed under the name uncultured eukaryote. Its description in RNAcentral is "bacterial SSU rRNA". It matches the Rfam family "Eukaryotic small subunit ribosomal RNA", at positions 249 to 753 of the family's 1831-position model. The record is from RNAcentral.
AUUCAUAAUAACUUAGCGAAUCGCAUUAGCCUUUGUGCUGGCGAUGGUACAUUCAAAUUUCUGCCCUAUCAAUUUGAUGGUAGGAUAGAGGCCUACCAUGGUUUUUACGGGUGACGGAGAAUUAGGGUUCGAUUCCGGAGAGGGAGCCUGAGAGAUGGCUACCACUUCUAAGGAAGGCAGCAGGCGCGCAAAUUACCCAAUCCUGAUACAGGGAGGUAGUGACAAGAAAUAACAAUACAGGUCCCAAUACGGGCCUUGUAAUUGGAAUGAGUACAAUUUAAACCCCUUAAUGAGUAACAAUUGGAGGGCAAGUCUGGUGCCAGCAGCCGCGGUAAUUCCAGCUCCAAUAGCAUAUAUUAAAUUUGUUGCAGUUAAAAAGCUCGUAGUUGGAUCUCGGAACAGGGAAUAACUGGUCUGCCGGUUGGUAUGUACUGUUGUUCCGUUCUCUACUGAUGGAAACUUAUCUCUACUCUUAAAUGAGCGGAGAGUAGAUCAGUAGAAUGAUA